UGGGCUAUCGCCAAGCGGUAAGGCACAGGAUUUUGAUUUUUGCAUUCGUUGGUUCGAAUCCAACUAGCCCAG
Molecule: transfer RNA, 72 nt
Filed under: Caudoviricetes sp.
Lineage: Duplodnaviria; Heunggongvirae; Uroviricota; Caudoviricetes
Description: tRNA-Gln
Rfam family: tRNA
About the family: Transfer RNA (tRNA) molecules are approximately 80 nucleotides in length. Their secondary structure includes four short double-helical elements and three loops (D, anti-codon, and T loops). Further hydrogen bonds mediate the characteristic L-shaped molecular structure. tRNAs have two regions of fundamental functional importance: the anti-codon, which is responsible for specific mRNA codon recognition, and the 3' end, to which the tRNAs corresponding amino acid is attached (by aminoacyl-tRNA synthetases). tRNAs cope with the degeneracy of the genetic code in two manners: having more than one tRNA (with a specific anti-codon) for a particular amino acid; and 'wobble' base-pairing, i.e. permitting non-standard base-pairing at the 3rd anti-codon position.
Source: RNAcentral